Molecule: long non-coding RNA, 1940 nt
Organism: Strongylocentrotus purpuratus (purple sea urchin)
Lineage: Eukaryota; Metazoa; Echinodermata; Echinoidea; Camarodonta; Strongylocentrotidae
Exons: 4
Source: RefSeq, a predicted model, not a curated record
GACGGUUCCAUGUCAGGUCGCCCAAUGUCAGCCCGCCCCCUUACAAAGUCGCCCUCAAUUGGUCAUGUCGCCUCCCGAUUUUUUGUGCCGAUUUUGGGAUUCUUGGUCAGCUCGCCCCCACUUUUUUGGUCAUCUCGCCCCCUAAUUUGUUGUUUUAAUUUGAUGUAUUUUACAAGUUCAAAGUCAAGCCAUUUUUAGUUCCUUGCAUCUCAGUACUAUGUUAUUACUUUGUUAUCACUAAAUAUUGAAAAUUUUCCUCGUAACUGCAUAUUUUUGAGGAUAUUUGCAUCUAAGUUUCCACCGGCUUACGUAGUAGGUCUACUACCUCAUCGCUCGUUCUGACUCGACUGGCUUAGUUCUAGUGACGGAGCUUACGGAUGAAUGCUUGAAUUCAGGUAAAAUAAACUUGAAUACAACCAUAUUUUCUGUAUUUGUAAUGAAAGAAAGUGUUCUCACAGUGAAAAGUUGGUAAAAGUUAAAUUUUCAAACAGCUACAUUUCAACUCUAGACUAUUGAAUUAUUCAUUCGGAAGUUAGCGCUGCUGCGGCCUGCGCCUGCUCUGCAUGUACUGGCCGUACAACCGCCCACUCGCACCGGCGUUUUUUUUGUAAACAACACACCCCAAAUACAGACAGACACACAAAAAACAACAUGAGCGAAGCUACUUAUUUGCAUCUGGCCCAUUCUGGGAUUAAUUUGCAGAUGCAGUAGAUACAAUUUGCACUUAUAUGAAGGAAGCACUGGGAAAGUACAUCUACUUUUCAAAAAUGCCACAGGCCAGAAACAAAUCCAGAUUGGAUACAGGGACCGACAUGCUGGGAAGAUGGGUCCUUGAUAAUUCACUGAACACAGAGCUGCAGAUGUGACUUGGCAUAGUGACCUAAGAGUGGGAGCGGUACGGAACCGUUGAAGCAAUUCACCGAACACUGUUGAAGCAAUUCACUGAACACAGUCAGAGCUGCAUGUGUGACUUGGCAUGGUGACCCUUAAAGUCUCCUGACGGCUCCGAUUGCGAUUCUGAUGAUGAACCAUUGUCUAUGCUUCUGAGCGAGUCAAAAGUCUAGAUCAAGAAUCUUCGCUGCUUCAACCACUAUCGCUUGGAUGACAUACGUGUGAAGAAACUUGAAGAACUUGUGUUGAAGAGCAUGCUUGAGAAACUAGAAUCAAUUACAUUGAUCGUUUUGGCAAUGCUUCAAUGUUUCAAUACCUCAAUCUCUCUUUUAUACUGUUUGAUUUUAGACAUUUUGAAUAUCAUAAAUAAAGCAAACUCCACUCAUAAUUGUAAUUGUGUGUAGUAAUUGCAAUGAAAUAGAUCCAUUUAAAAUCAAUGAAUUGAUUUAAAGCAAACUGGUAACAUUUUCCAUGAUUUCUUAAACAAUGAACUGAAUGGUCGUAAAGGUGUUUGGUAAACUUUGUAGCGUUUGAGACUGUGUACUAAAUUUUAUUGAAAUAUCCUAGAAAGAGAUUGUGUAAACUGACUUGGUUCUGAUACUCUACUCACAAGAUAUUUAUGAAAAACAGAGAUGAACAAAAAAAGUAACGAUGAUGAUUAUAUUAGUCAUUUUUCCUAUUGAAAAACUUCAUGAUACAUGUAGUACAUGUAUGUCAAGCAUUUUGUAUGUCACAUGUGGCAUUUCCUCCCUACGAUUGCUGAACAAACAUGAUAACCAGGACAUGUAUAACGAAUUAGAUAAAGACAUUUUAGCAUAUUUACAAGUACUGUAUAAUGAAUGAAAUAACCUUUGUAUUCCGUGGAUGUAUACCUGAUGAGUCUUUUCGAAAAACCCUAGAUGUACAUUUCAAAAUGCAAUACAGUAUUGAUGAUAAUUGAUGAUGAUAUGUUUGGUAUGAAUUAUUUAAUAUUUUUGAAUUUAUGCUCUAUUUGCCACUUGCUGUUCUGGUUCCAAAUGUUUGAAUUAAAACUGCUCAGUCGAAAUUCA